Molecule: ribosomal RNA, 253 nt
Filed under: uncultured bacterium
Lineage: Bacteria
Description: partial 16S ribosomal RNA
Rfam family: Bacterial small subunit ribosomal RNA
Source: RNAcentral
CACGUAGGGCGCAAGCGUUGUCCGGAAUUACUGGGCGUAAAGCGCACGUAGGCGGGUACUUAAGUCCGGGGUGAAAUCCCGGGGCUCAACCCCGGAACUGCCUUUGAUACUGGGUAUCUCGAGUCCGGAAGAGGUGAGUGGAAUUCCGAGUGUAGAGGUGAAAUUCGUAGAUAUUCGGAGGAACACCAGUGGCGAAGGCGGCUCUCUAGUACGGUACUGACGCUGAGACGCGAAAGCGUGGGGAGCGAACAGG